UCCGUAGGUGAACCUGCGGAAGGAUCAUUAAUGAAUAUUAGGGUGCUACUCUUCAUCAGAGAGACCCGACCUUCAUUUCCAACACUGUGAACUUUAAACCUAGAGGACUUGCGCAAGCGAGAACUCUUCACUUUAAAACUCUACAAGUAAAAGAAUGUAAACAAACCAAAACAAAAAAAAACUUUCAACAACGGAUCUCUUGGCUCUCGCAUCGAUGAAGAACGCAGCGAAAUGUGAUAAGUAAUGUGAAUUGCAGAAUUCAGUGAAUCAUCGAAUCUUUGAACGCACCUUGCGCUCUCUGGUAUUCCGGAGAGCAUGCCUGUUUGAGUGUCAUGAACUCUUCAACCCACCAGUUCCUUGUGAACUGUCGUGGUGUUUGGAUUUUGAGCGUUGCUGGUCUAGCCUCUAGUGGGCCGAGACGAAGCUCGUUCGUAAUACAUUAGCAACUCAAUUUCGAGUAUUCGGAUUGACUCGGCGUAAUAGACUAUUCGCUGAGGACACUGGACUUGUUCUGGUGGCCGAAUUUCGAGGUAGAAGCUUCCAACUCCUUUUGAAGUCAAAUUCUUUAGAUUAGACCUCAGAUCAGGCAGGAUUACCCGCUGAACUUAAGCAUAUCAAUAAGCGGAGGA
RNAcentral lists this ribosomal RNA (629 nucleotides) under uncultured Rhodotorula. RNAcentral describes it as "eukaryotic LSU rRNA". The stretch from base 180 to 333 matches the Rfam family "5.8S ribosomal RNA". The record is from RNAcentral. Lineage: Eukaryota; Fungi; Basidiomycota.